RNAcentral lists this ribosomal RNA (647 nucleotides) under uncultured organism. RNAcentral describes it as "bacterial SSU rRNA". It matches the Rfam family "Bacterial small subunit ribosomal RNA", at positions 864 to 1510 of the family's 1533-position model. The record is from RNAcentral.
GUGCCCCGCCUGGGGAUUACGGUCGCAAGGCUGAACUCAAAGAAUUGACGGGGCCGCCACAAGCGGUGGAGCAUGUGGUUUAUUCGACGCAACGCGAAGAACCUUACCUGGGCUUGAACUGCUGGGUUUAGCUUCCUGAAAGGGAAGUGAACCUGCUUGCAGGAGACCAGCAGAGGUGCUGCAUGGCUGUCGUCAGCUCGUGUCGUGAGAUGUUGGGUUAAGUCCCGCAACGAGCGCAACCCUUGCCUUUAGUUGCCAGCGAGUCAUGUCGGGUACUCUAAGGGGACUGCCACGGAUAACGUGGAGGAAGGUGGGGAUGACGUCAAGUCAGCAUGGCCUUUAUGUCCAGGGCGACACACGUGCUACAAUGGGCGGCACAAAGGGACGCGAAACCGCAAGGUGGAGCUAAUCUUCAAAGCUGCUCUCAGUUCGGAUCGCAGGCUGCAAUUCGCCUGCGUGAAGUUGGAAUCGCUAGUAAUCGCGGAUCAGCCUCGCCGCGGUGAAUACGUUCUCGGGCCUUGUACACACCGCCCGUCACAUCACGAAAGUUGGUUAUACCCGAAGUCGCCGGGCUAACCUUUGGAGGCAGGCGCCGAAGGUAUGAUCGAUGAUUGGGGUGAAGUCGUAACAAGGUAACCAAGGGCGAA